RNAcentral lists this ribosomal RNA (250 nucleotides) under uncultured bacterium. Its description in RNAcentral is "partial 16S ribosomal RNA". It matches the Rfam family "Bacterial small subunit ribosomal RNA", at positions 1252 to 1500 of the family's 1533-position model. The record is from RNAcentral.
AAGUCGUGAGGCGGAGCUAAUCCCUUAAAGCCAUUCUCAGUUCGGAUUGUAGGCUGAAACUCGCCUACAUGAAGCUGGAGUUACUAGUAAUCGCAGAUCAGAAUGCUGCGGUGAAUGCGUUCCCGGGUCUUGUACACACCGCCCGUCACACCACGGAAGUUGGGGGCGCCCGAAGCCACUUAGCUAACCCUUUGGGAAGCGAGUGUCGAAGGUGAAAUCAAUAACUGGGGUGAAGUCGUAACAAGGUACC